UUGUUGAGCCGUCACACGGA
RNAcentral lists this small nuclear RNA (20 nucleotides) under Arabidopsis thaliana (thale cress). Its description in RNAcentral is "snRNA_17488". The record is from RNAcentral. Lineage: Eukaryota; Viridiplantae; Streptophyta; Magnoliopsida; Brassicales; Brassicaceae.